This 21526-nucleotide long non-coding RNA is filed under the name Zea mays. RNAcentral's name for it is "long non-coding RNA (ZMAY_LNC001124)". Lineage: Eukaryota; Viridiplantae; Streptophyta; Magnoliopsida; Poales; Poaceae. The record is from RNAcentral.
CUGGACACCGCUUUCCCCUGAAGCCUUAACCACGCACGAUCUGAAAGCGUGAGGUCACCGGCGAGCACGAAUUCAAGAGAGAACAAAAAAAAUCGUCGCCGCGCCGAGGAGAGAAAGAAAUCGCGCCAUACGCAUGGCCAUGGUCGUCGUCGGGGCUUCAGGGCCACUCAAGCUUGCAGCAGUUGCUUCUGGGGGCCUAACCACGGCGCGCCCUGCGUAGCAGGGUUGGGAAGACGGACUGGGAUCGCUCCUGGGCAGCUGUUGCGGUGCCGGUAGGGCAGUUGCGUGUUUGCGGCUGCUCCUGUGCGCUGGAGGGUCGCUGGGUCCGGCACUGUGGGCUCGUCACCAUAGUCCACGGAUUCGUACCGGAAAGUCUCACCGUGCGUGGAGGUCCGGGCAGGUGAACUUUCUGCGGCGGUUUGGCGGCCGAAGAUCUUGGAAUUUGUUGACGAAAUGCAUGCUCCUCCGCAUGUCCGCUGUGCGCCGUGGCCAGGGGUAUUCAUUCUGCGAUUGCCGGUAAGACACCUCCCAUGAUGUUCGCCGUCCUCCCUUGUACGUCUGGAUUAGAUCCGUUUUUUGGAUGGGACACCAGUGCACCGAGGCGCCGUUCUCCGACGUAGGCUACCGUCGUUGGGGCGGCGCCGCCGUACCCCUGUAGCUGAGCGAGGAAGAAAGACCCCUGGUCGUCCGAUUGGCUUUGGGCGGCCUGGAUUAGAGGCUCGUACCUAUUCAACUCGGUCGGAUCUCGACCGUUGAUCGGUUAUCCUAGGCUUGUGUUAGAUCUGGGCGUGGGACGUUAUGGUCCAUGGAUCUCGAAUCGUGCGGCUGGCACCUGAUACCGGUUCGCUGUUGCGCGAUUUAAUAUGGGGCGUGCAUCCUUGAUUCAACGGCCCGAAUUAACCGAUACCCUUUCGACCUGCGCGUUUUGCAAAAGAGACCUCAUAUUUAACUAUAAACAACCCGCAGUCCGCACUGUGGGAAUACUGAGUCUUGGGAAAAUUGUGAUUUAGGCCCUUGUCUUUUAAGAAAUAUUGUGUCCAGUCCAGAACACUUAGGAUAUUCAGAAAUUAAUAAAGAAAUAGGUUUUUAGUAUGAAAAUAAUUCCAUAAACUUGUAUAAUUGAUAGUUAAUUCAUUUUAGCUCCAAAUUGAGUCAUUCCAGAUGCUAUAAUUUUGUUUUAAUAUUGUCUAUCAACUAGUAACACUGUUUAGCCAUGAAACUUGAAUUAAAAUUGUCCAUUUGAAUUAAUCUGUUCUAGGUGCUACAUAACUUGAGAAAUCCAUAACUUGGUAACCGUAACUCCGAAUUUAAUGAUUCUUGUUCCCACGGUCUCGUAGAAACGCGUAGAUUAUGAUUACGCAAUUUAUUCUUAUGAUUGGUGUGAUGUUAAUUUUGCCUAUACCAUGUAUGUCUGUAUUGCUACGUUUAGCAGUGAGGUCACGUGUCAUCUGAAGAGCAAGUUGGUACCUUCUCAAGUGCCAGGCAAGUUGUGCCCCUUGAUCACUUCUUUUUACCCAGCCAUGUUCUGAUUAAUCAUAAUGAUCUGCAUAGGUUAAUUUUGAUGGGACCCAAUAGGUUACCCUAGUUUGAUUAUCUUUAUACCUUGUUACCACUGAACUUUUUGGGUAGUACUUGCUAGUGCUUUAUGUGGUUUUGGGUAUGAAGAUACAUUACUCAUGAUUAUACUUUUGUUAUCCGUUGUUAUUUAUCGUUCAUGAUAAGAUCAUUAUGUUAAUUGGAACAUGGAGCAACCACCCGGGAAAAUAGUGCUACCACAAGGGUAUAAUGGGACGCCCUUGGCUGAUUAAUUAGGAAAGCUAGUGGAGGACUACCUUACCCGAAAGGGGCAAGGGCAGUAGGGGAGUGGUCAGUGUAGGGAGGCCCUCGGGAUGAUUUUGCUGCGAUGGCGGUCAUGCAAGGGAUUCCUGCAUUGGAGCUUCCUAUAAACUGUAGCGGGUUUUCUGAAGCUAGUGGAACUUUGUAAAGGCCUCGUAGUGUUACCCUGCCUCGCCUCCUCGGUAGAGGUGUAUGGGAAGUCGCGAUCCCUUGGCAGAUGGGUAACAUGACUUGUGGGUAAAGAUGCGCAACCUCUGCAGAGUGUAAAACUGGUAUACUAGCCAUGCUCACGGUCAUGAGCGGCUCGGACACUCACAUGAUUAAAUUAUGGAACUUAAACUCAAUUUGUCAUAUGCAUUGCAUCGCAGGUGAUGUUGUUACUUUUGUUCUACUACUUAAUUGGGUUGGUAUUUACUUAUACUUAGUAAUUGCUAAUAAAAAUUUGACCAACUUUAAAAGCAAUGCUUAGCUCAAACCAUCCUCUUUGGUAAGCCUUACACUUCACGUGAGCUCCCACCUUUGGCGAGUUCAUGCACAUUAUUCCCCACAACUUGUUGAGCGAUGAACGUAUGUGAGCUCACUCUUGCUGUCUCACACCCCCCACAGGUCAAGAACAAGUACCGCAGGAUGAGGCGCUUGGAGGAUGCUGUGACGAGUUCGUGAGAGGUCUAGGCCGUCGUCUCCCAGUCAACUUUGGGUUGCUGGACCGCUGUCUCCUUAUAAUGUAUUUAUUUAUUUAUUUUGUAUAGAACUUCUAUUAUGUAGUAAAGAUGUGACAUUCGAUCCUGUGUCAUGAUUCAUCAUAUGUGUGAGACUUGGUCCCAGCACACCUGGUGAUUAUGUUCGCGCCCGGGUCUUGGUGCCCCAAAAUCCGGGUGUGACAGAAGUGGUAUCAGAGGAAUGUUGACUGUAGGACGAAACCUAGAUAGAACCGGACAACCAUUAUCUACUUACCUCUGCUAUUCUGAUUCUUUUCUAAACUUUUUUUAAUCUUUUCUCGUCUAUUCCCGCUUUACUCUGAUUAUUCUUACCUUUUAUUUCUAAAAGACAAAUGUGGAUUUCACACUUUGAAAUCCCGUACCUAAAGUGACUCUUAGGACUAGGAGACCUAAUCUUAGAAACAAAAACAAAACUAUUUUUAUGGGUAUCUAUACGCUUGAAUGUUUGUUCUUAUGAUACUUGUCUGAUUUGGAUCUUUGAUUGAGUAUGAUGAGUUGUGGAGUAAUGUCCAUAAUUAUAUCUGCAUAUACAUAAUGCUUAUAAAACUAACUAGACAAACUAGAUUAUCUCUCAUUAAAGUAUCUAGCCUAAUAAUAUCCAUCUCAUCAUAAAAGAUUCUAUCAUACACUCAUAGAUCCAUCUCAUCCCAAAAGAUCCUAACUUAUCCUAAUUAAAAUAUAUCUAGCUUAAUAGAUCCAUCCUAUCUCAAAAAAAAUUCUAACAUAUCCUAAUAAUAUUUAUCCUACCUUAGUAGAUCUAUCUAGCCUAAACUAGUCUAAUCUAGUCAUACCCAAUCUAAUCUAGACCCUAUCUAAUCUAAUAUGAUUUAACCUAGUGGGUGAUUCUUAAUGCUGGUAAAAAAAGAUAUGGCCAUACUCGUAAUUCACUUAAGACUAAAUUGGUGACUUAAAUCAACUUGGCCAUACUCAACAACUUGACCUACAUAACAGGUUACAUAACUAAUCCCAUCUAGCAUAUAGCUACCUACUAAACCCUCUACCCAUCUGUUACCUAUAGAUCUAUCUUGACCUUUUGUGUAACACCCCUGGUGUUACUAUAACUAAAACUUGAGCAUGGCAUCAUGAGCAUUGGCAUUGCAUAUGUUUGACACACCUAGAGUGCAUUCACUAGGCAAAAAUUUCAAACAAGUUGUAUUGUUUUAAGUAUUUUGCAACUAGAACCCUAGUUAAGGAACUUAACCCUAAAUGGGGAUUCUAGGGGUAAAACUUUACCCAAGUUAAGAAAACCUAAAUACUUUAGGGUAAAAGUCAUAAAAUGACCCUAAAAAUAAGCUUGAAUCACUUUUGUACCCCUGAGAUACCAGAAACCCUAAUUGGAACCCUGAAAAACCCUAAACCAAACCCUAGGGGCUUCUGUGCAAAAUUAGCCCACUUUUGGGCUAAAGUGCAAAAACCAAGCCAAAUAGGUUUCUUAAGUCCCUUGGUUCACAAAAAUGUGUACUUGAAAGCAAAACCCAAAGUUUUGGACUUAAAUGCAAAAUGGACCUUAUUUGACUUUUGCUCUAAGUCUGAAAAUCAGUGAAUGGGCUCAACUUUGGGACUUUGUAGCUUGCAAAGCAUAGGGUUUUUGCCCUAGGUCACCACAUCAAAGUUGAAGACCAAUUAUAGGAGAACAACUUUGCUUAAGGUUGUGAGCUUAGUUGUUAAGAAGAAUUUAGAGAAAACCAAGCCUAAAGUUGGGUUGUCAGGCUGUUAUGUCUGAAUUUUCAGACUAGCAGUGAACUGACCUCGACUUCAAGCUAGGUUUUGAGCAUAAUCCAGUGCUCAAAUAUGUUCAAGUCCUAUAGUCGAAUUGUAGAUGGUAUAUUGCUCUACACUAUUGCUGCAGAGAGUUGGAUUUGUUGCCACAUGAAAUUGAGAGAAAUAGGCGCUCCAAAGUGCUCUGUCAGGUGUUCUGAUGGAGUCUUCCCAUGGUACAGUACCCCGAGCUGAUAAGGUCGCCAGCAAACCGCCGCCGGUGGCUUUCCACCGUGAUUCACGUCGCCGGCGUCACGAUUCGCGCUCGGGUGUAUGGAUAACUUCGCGGCAUCAAAAGAUCUUCACCGCCCAUGCGCUGGACGUCACUCCGGUGACUCACCGCCGUCUUCCUCUACUGCUUUGCGGCUUGCGCGGAUUACCUCGCCGGUGACCGCCGCCUCCCGGACAUGUGCCGCGUGGCUUAGCCUUUCCACCGCACCACCGUGACUCCUCUAAGCUAUCCCAUCGUCGACGGGAAGCUCGCCACGCCAUUUGCCACGAAUUCACCGCACCCAGGUUCUUCUUCACCUCCGGCCGCCAGCACUGCUCGGUCAAAUUCACCACCGCCGCUUACCCUCGCUAUAAAUUGAAGCCCCCGCUAGCUCCGCUACGUCAUCCAGCACCCAGCCACCAAGAAUCGUCCUCAGUCGAUCGCCAGUGAGUCCCAAUUUCCGACUUCCCCCAAAUCCCUCUCCGCCACCGUAAACCACCCAUCACCGCGGCCAGCCCUUUCCAGGUUAGUUCAUCUCUCUCUCUCCCUUGUUUAAGCACCCUGGUUACUUAGUGAUGCUCGCCGACCCACGCAAUUGAACUAGAAACCCUCUGGUCGCUGGGAACUUGGGAUCGACGCCGCGGUUCUCGCCGUGAGCGUGGACAGUCCGUCCGCAGGGCGCUCUUGUGAAAUUAGUGCGUGUUCCGAGCUCACCUUAGGUCCGUAAGGCCUCCCCGAUGGUUAGUCCGGGCAGUCGUCGCCGGCCAUGGCCGGUACAGAGCUCGUCGGUGAUGAAUGGGGAGCGCGCCGUGACCAGGGGUAUUCGUGGAGAAGAAUUAGAAACCCAAGGGCCUUUCUGCAAUCCGUCAGUGACUUGAGAAAACAGUAAAAGAACCUGGUCGCAGUUAGUCUAAAGCGCAGGGACCUCUGCGCAAAACCGCCAGGGCGCGCGGGCGCGCGGGCGCUUUCCUCCCUGGACCUGGGCCGCCUGGGCUCAGAAUCGGCCCAAGACUGUUACAAGUUUCUCUUUUUCUUUUUGUUCCAGAGCCAAAACAAUUAUAGAAAAAUGUAGAAAAAUGCUAAAGCUGUGAAACCAAUUUUCCUAGGUUUGUUAUUUUCCAUAGUAUUUAAUAAAAAUAAGUUUGUGAUUUUUAGUGAAAGUAAGAAAUUUUAGGGUAUUUAAAAUGAUUAAAAGUAUUGGUUAUAGAUUUUUAGAAAAUAGUUGGUAAGUCCUAAAAUGCCUAAAAUUUUUAUAUGAGUGUUAUAUAAUAUUUAGAAGCCUUGGGUAGAGUUUGAAUUGAUUUGGACCUUGUUUGAUCACCAAACCCCAAAACACCCCCCCUGCCCUAUGAACUCCUUUACCGACUCCGGAAACCCUAAGUUCCCGGAACUCCGUGAAGGCAAGUUGUAUUCAAGACAUAACUAAUAAGUUUAUGUUGUCUUUGCAUCCUCAUGAGCAUCCCAUGGCAUCCAUUCUUAUACUUAUGUAUGGUUAUGAGUAGAACGUGAAGAAGAGGUAGAAGUCCCCGAAGAGCAAGUGCAACCACCUUUGGACACUCAGGCCGGGAAUAGUUUCUACUUCGACAUUUGUGGAUCCGAGCCUGAAUCACCUGUUAACGAAGGCAAGCCCCGGUGCAUGCAACCCCUUUCCUUGAAUUUUUAAAUACUUUUCGCACACUUAAGUCUAGUGAAAUGUGCAUUAAGUUCAUAGGAGUUACUUGAAACCCUUUGAUGCAUUGCUUUCCUUGACAUCCAUACCUUUAUAGAUACUUCUGUGAAGUAUCAAAAUUAUGAUUUACAAAAAUGCUUAGCCUUGCUUAGAUCUUGUGGAUAGAAGUUGUCCUCAAUUUAACCAUGGAGAGGAUAGCUUCUACCUGCAAGAAUAUUUUCAUUUGGAGCAAUAGUGGGAUCUUACUGCAAAGCUCCCCGUGAUGCUCUUUCAUCCUAAGGAACAGACACAUUCCUAAGGGUGGAAAUACUUAAAUGGAAACUUGGGGUAGGAACAGGUGAUGUUCUACCCAAGUUGGUUAAGGAUUAACGCGUAUGUAGGCGUGCUGACCGAGGACCCUUUAACUGGUCACAUGCCUCGUCAUGGGUAAGCCUUGCCUCGGGCAGACUAAGGCCGGAAUAAGACAACACGAGAUGGGCGUGGAGCGGUGGCGAGAGUAGCGUGUACCCUCCGUGGCAAGAGGCUGGACGGUGGUGUAUCUGUGCUCUCGGUCUGCGUGAACCUGAUCCGGUCUUAAGAACCCCGGUGGCGGGUUGACAUAUGCAAGGGUUAAGUGCUACAUAUGUCGUGUGAUUGGAGAUCCUCAGCUGAGUAUAAUCGAUUCGGAUCGCCGUACCUUCGCGGUUAUGAAGACUUGGUCACUUCCCUGCAACCUAGAGUCAGGAUGUGAACACAAUGGAUAAGAAUGAUGUUGUCUUGAUGUGAUGUGAAAUUAGACUAGAUGCAAAUGGAGUCUAUUAAUACUUAACAUGGCGUUAAAAGAUUGAAAGUAAGGACUCACUUUAGUAAGCUACUUCUGCAAAAAUAUAAGUUGAUUUUUGCUAAAGCCUCUCCUUGACUCCUAUUUAUCCAGCAUACCCUUGAGAGUCUUUUCCUUAGUCGGGUAAGACUUGCUGAGUAUUCCAUACUCAGGGUUUAUCCCUUCGUUGUUUUUAGGUGAGGAAGUAGCAGACUUUUGCUGCUUCUGUGCUAAGGUGGUUCCCAACAAGGAAAACCAAGACUGAAGUGCGAGAGGACUUGGUCCUCCAUCUAGGAUCUUUUGUUUUUUUGUCUUUCGGGAGAAGUUUGGUGUCUCCCUGGUUUGUAUUAUAUUACCUCUAUGCACUCACUUUUAGGCUGGUCUGUAAUAAUAUAACUCAAGCUUACUUUUGAAAUAAAUGUAAGAUUAUGUAAUUCGCUUCCGCAUUUCUUUAUCUCCGAUGUUCUGUAAUGUCUACAAGAUGGGUGAGACGUUCCUGGUAAGGUAAGGAAAGAUACCGAACUUGUCAAGUAGUUCAGGGGCACCUACAGGGUUGUCUGAUGUCUGUGAGACAAGGACAACUGUAGGUGGGCCUAAUUACUUGGGAGGUUCCGUCACAGCUGGUAUCGGAGCGUAGCCCUUCUUGGCAGAUAUUAUGAAGCAUCUUCAAAAGGAUUUUUUAGAGUCUUACCUAAAAAAAUUCUUUUCUCUUCUUACCUAAGUAUUCUGAAGAAGUCUAUUUUAAAGACCAGAUAGGAAGAGUGCAAUGUAUAGAAGGUUGAAUCGACUAAGGUUGAUUCUGUAAUUAUACAUGCAUCAUGCUAAGAAUCUUACUAAUGACAUUUUCCCCCUUAGAAAAGAUGCCGCCACGUACCAGGCUAACGGCACGCAAGUCCACGGGACCAAUUGGGGUGCCUCGGCAUCAAUUGGCUCCCCGACAUGAAAGUAGCAGCAGUGGAAGCAACGACCCGAUCGGAGACCUUGAAGCUCGUGUGAGUCGACUUCAAGCAGCACUUCAACAUAGGACUGAUGCUUGGGUCGCUGAUGGUGAUAGAAUCAACGAACUACGAAGGGACAUCCGACACUUGCAGGAUCAACUCGCUGAUCGAGACUUAGCUCUUGACUGGGCCGUCCAGUCUCGUUUGCUAAUGUGUGCUAAGGAAGCAAGGGCUUAGGCCCGAGUUAAAGAACUUAGCUCGACUGUUGAUAACCUGCAGGUUUACUGCAACACUUUGCACGAGGAAGUCCAUAUAUUAUACUCACAACUACACCCAAGUGAGCCUGCACCACCUGCUGAGGCAGAAGCUGGACCAUCUCACGUUGCGGGACGUGCGCUGGGUGGGGAGUUAGACCUUUUUGAGCCUCCUCCUUCCUUGAGGUUGGUAGAUGUCUGGACUCCCACACCUGACGAUGAAGCCGCCAAGACUGAUGGCAAGCAGGAAUAAGGGUGUAAUAGUAGUAGAGUAGUGUAUUGUAGGGUAUUGUAGGGUGUACUGUUGUAAAAUGGGUAUAGUAUCCUGCUAUGUAAUAUUGAGUCUGUAUCAUUACUCUUCAUAGUAAUGUAAAACGGAAGGUUUCCUUGGGCAUAUGAUGUUUAUUCAAAUGUUUUGCCUCAGAUGCCGACCAGGACUCGUGCACAGGAUACAGCUGGAACAUCCGGGGGUCGGGACGUUACCCCGAAUCCGCCUCCCGUUCCAUCCACGCUUGCCGAGGCAAUUGCUGCCUUGGUGAACGCCACAGCCGACAACACCCGCUUCCUGAGGGAGAUGGCGGGUCAGCAACAGCUUCAACAACAAGUAGGAAGAGGAUUCCAACAAGGUCCCCGUGAGACCACUUAUCUGGAUUUCUCUGAGACUCGUCCGCCUCUCUUCGUCAAAGCAGAAGAUCCGCUCGAGGCCGACGAAUGGAUACGGGUCAUAGAGCAGAAGUUUGGCCUUCUACGCUGUUCGGAAGUACAGAAGCCACUAUUUGCAGCACAGCAACUCCGAGGACCUGCCAGUACUUGGUGGGGGAACUUUGUGGCCAUCCAGCCGGACAACCAUCAAAUUACAUGGAACGAGUUCAAAGCAGCAUUCCGCGAGCAUUACAUUCCUGAGGGAGUGCUACACAUGAAACAAGAAGAGUUUAUGAAACUGAAGCAAGGCGGAGAUACCGUCACUCAAUACCUCAACAAGUUCAAUCACCUGUCACAGUACGCAAUUGAUCAGGUGAAUACGGAUUUGAAAAAGAAGAAUUGUUUUAUGAGAGGACUGAACGACCGGAUGCAGCGAAAAAUGGCUGCAUGUAUUGAUCUUACUUAUGGAAAGGCUGUCAGCACAGCCUUAUCUGUGGAGGCCAAAUAUGCAAAUUCUGGAAAGACUAAGGAAUUCGGUGGUGAGCGGCCAAAUCAGGGCCAGGCGAAGAAACCACGGUUUGUGAUUCGACCCUCAAACCAAAAUCGCCCUUUUUCUCGUCCACCUUCAUUUCCCUUCAAGCAGCCUAUUAUUAUCCGCCCCAACAAUGCCCCCACUACCCCAAAACAGCCGGGUGCCCCAGGCACUCGAUUCCCUGCACUGCCAAGUUCUUCAACUGGAUGUUUUAACUGUGGCAAAUCUGGGCAUUUUAUUAAAGAUUGUCCCUAUCCAAGGCAAAAUCAGGCUAAUAAUCAGCAAGGAUCGGGAAAUUCAGCUCCAGGCAAGGGAACUACUUCGGGCAAGAAUACCAAGAAAACGGGGCGAGUAUAUUAUACGCAAGUGGCUACCACACCGGAGGGAGAGCCGGUGAUGAUGGGUAUGUUCCCUGUGGCCAGUCACCCAGCAAUAAUUCUUUUUGAUUCUGGUGCUUCACAUACAUUUAUUAGCAAGAAGUUUGUGGAACAACAUCAUAUUGCAUACCAUGAAUCAAAGGAGGGAUUUAAAAUUCAUUCACCUGGGGGACACAUUUAUACUAAAGAAGUGGCCUAUGGAGUGCCAGUAGCAAUGGCCGGACGGAACUUUCCUGCUAAUAUGAUUGUUCUGAAGGGCCAGGAUAUAGAUGUAAUUUUGGGAAUGAAUUGGUUAACCCAAUAUAAGGCAAUUCUCAACACUGAACUCGGAACCGUCAGGUUGAGUUAUAACCAAGAAGAGAUUCUUUUGACUCUCCCCGCAACCAAUCCAGCCAAAGCUUCUGGUAGAGUCUAUGAAGCCAUUGUACCGGAGAUCAAGAAUAUUCCGGUAGUAUGUGAGUUUCCAGAUGUAUUUCCGGAAGAUUUGCCUGGACUACCCCCUGAAAGAGAUGUAGAAUUUGUGAUUGAGCUAAAGCCCGGUACGGCUCCAAUUUCCCGAAGAUCGUACCGUAUGCCCCCAAAUGAAUUGGCAGAAUUGAAGAUUCAAUUACAAGACCUGCUGAAUAAAGGAUUCAUCCGGCCAAGCUCGUCUCCGUGGGGUUGUCCCGCCAUCUUUGUGAAGAAGAAGGAUCAAACCUUGCGCAUGUGCGUGGACUAUCGGCCCCUGAAUGAGGUCACCAUCAAGAAUAAGUACCCUCUUCCAAGAAUCGACAUCUUAUUUGAUCAACUAACUGGGGCGAGGGUAUUUUCUAAAAUUGAUCUCAGGUCGGGCUAUCAUCAGAUCCGUAUUCGGCCCGAGGAUAUACCGAAGACCGCGUUUACUACGCGGUAUGGAUUAUUUGAAUACUUGGUAAUGUCUUUUGGGCUCACAAAUGCUCCUGCCCAUUUCACCUAUUUGAUGAACUCGGUGUUCAUGCCUGAAUUGGACAAGUUCGUGGUAGUCUUCAUUGAUGAUAUCUUGAUAUAUUCCAAGAAUGAAGAAGACCAUGCUCAGCAUUUACGGAUUGUAUUGACGCGCCUAAGGGAACAUCAGCUAUAUGCCAAGUUCAGCAAGUGUGCGUUCUGGCUGGAAGAAAUUCAAUUUUUGGGGCACGUAUUAUCAGCUAAAGGAAUUGCGGUAGAUCCUAGCAAGGUCAAAGAUAUUCUGGAAUGGAAACCCCCAACGACUGUUCACCAAGUCCGGAGUUUUCUGGGACUAGCUGGGUACUAUCGCAGAUUCAUACCAGAUUUUUCCAAGCUUGUGAAGCCAAUCACAAGUUUGUUGAAGAAUGACACUAAGUUCAAUUGGUCUUCUAAGUGCAAUGAAGCCUUUGAACAACUGAAGACACUAUUGACCACUGCUCCGAUAUUGGCUCAACCGGACAUCACUAAACCUUUUGAUGUAUAUUGUGAUGCGUCAGGCAGUGGACUCGGCUGUGUGUUGAUGCAAGAAGGCCGAGUGAUUGCGUAUGCUUCAAGGCAGUUGCGCCGACAUGAGGAGCACUAUCCAACUCAUGAUCUGGAGUUAGCUGCUGUGGUUCAUGCCCUAAAGAUUUGGCGUCACUAUCUGCUGGGAAAUAUCUGUCAUAUAUAUACAGAUCAUAAAAGUUUGAAGUACAUCUUCACCCAGUCAGAGUUAAAUAUGAGGCAAAGACGAUGGCUUGAGCUCAUCAAAGACUAUGAACUGGAGAUCCAUUAUCACCCAGGCAAGGCCAAUGUGGUGGCAGAUGCAUUGAGUCGUAAGACUUCCUGCCACUGUCUUAUGGCAAAGAUCUUCGAGAACACUUUAUGUCAAGAAAUGGAAAAGCUAAACCUGGGGAUCAUCCAACAAGGGACUCUAAAUCAGUUAAGGCUUGAGUCAAUCAUUUUGCAAAGAAUAAUUGAUGCUCAAAAGGAUAAUCUGGGUAUGAAGCACAUACGAGAAAAGAUAAGGGCUGGAACAGCCAAGUGUUUCAAAGAAGACGAUCAAGGUGUGAUAUGGUUUAAAAACCGCAUAGUUGUGCCAAAGAACGAAGAGCUCCGCCAGCAAAUUCUGGAUGAGGCACAUCUUAGUCGCUAUUCUAUUCAUCCCGGAAGCACUAAGAUGUAUCAAGACUUAAAGCAACAUUACUGGUGGACGAAAAUGAAGAUUGAAAUUGCACGCUAUGUGGCGAAAUGUGACACUUGCAGACGUGUCAAGGCCAUACACAUGAAAACUGCCGGUCCAUUACAAUCUUUGCCAAUCCCAACAUGGAAAUGGGAAGACAUCAGUAUGGACUUUAUUGUGGGAUUACCCAGGACGGCCAAAGGGUAUGAUUCUAUUUGGGUUAUAGUUGAUCGACUCACAAAGAUUGCCCACUUCUUACCCGUCAGGACCAAAUAUACAGUAGCCACUUAUGCAGCAUUAUACAUUGCCCGUAUUCUCAGUCUGCAUGGUGUUCCGAAGACCAUUGUGUCGGAUCGUGGACCUCAAUUUGUAGCCAAGUUUUGGGAAGCACUUCACAACUCCUUGGGUACUAAAUUACUCCACAGUUCGGCUUAUCAUCCUCAAACCAGUGGGCAGACUGAGAGGGUGAACCAAAUACUUGAAGAUAUGCUGCGGGCAUGUGUCCUGGAUUUCUCACUGAAAUGGGAUGAAUGUCUGCCUUUAGCGGAGUUUUCAUAUAAUAAUAGCUACCAAGAAAGUAUCAAGAUGGCACCCUUUGAAGCUUUAUAUGGACGACGGUGUCGGACUCCGCUAAAUUGGUCUGAACCUGGAGAAAGAUACUUCUUUAGACCUGAUAUGGUGAAAGAGGUCGAAGAAAAGGUUCAGAGAAUUGUUCAUAAUAUGAAGAAAGCUCAAGCACGGCAAAAGAGUUAUGCAGACCGACGACGACAACCCUUAUGCUUUCUGGUAGACGAUUAUGUCUACUUAAAGAUUUCACCAAUGAAGGGUGUAUCGCGUUUCGGGGUAAAAGGGAAACUUGCACCCAGAUACAUUGGUCCAUUCCUGGUACUUGAGCAAUGUGGACCAGUGGCGUACCGACUUCAGCUCCCCGAAACAUUGUCUGCUGUGCAUAAUGUGUUCCACGUGUCACAACUAAAGAAGUGUCUUCGGGUUCCUGAUCGAACCGUUGAAGUGACUGAUGUUGUCCUGGAACCAGACUUAACAUACUCGGAGCAUCCUAUUCGAGUUCUGGAUCAAAAGGACAGGGUCACCCGAAGAAAGACUCUCAAGUUCUACAAGAUACAGUGGAACCAACAUUCGGAAGAUGAGGCUACAUGGGAAACCCAAGACUUCUUAGAUAAGAAUUUUCCUGGCUUCCUAGCCUCAUGUAAAUUGUAAAGUCUGUAUAGCUGUUGUAAUGCAGAAAUAACCCCCACAUCACCCCUGUCUUGUACCAAAAAUAAGGAAAUAAAAAUGUGAUGCGUUUCCUUUACCAUUACCUACCCUAGGAUUUUUAAUCUCGGGACGAGAUUCUUUUAUGGGGGGAAGGAUGUAACACCCCUGGUGUUACUAUAACUAAAACUUGAGCAUGGCAUCAUGAGCAUUGGCAUUGCAUAUGUUUGACACACCUAGAGUGCAUUCACUAGGCAAAAAUUUCAAACAAGUUGUAUUGUUUUAAGUAUUUUGCAACUAGAACCCUAGUUAAGGAACUUAACCCUAAAUGGGGAUUCUAGGGGUAAAACUUUACCCAAGUUAAGAAAACCUAAAUACUUUAGGGUAAAAGUCAUAAAAUGACCCUAAAAAUAAGCUUGAAUCACUUUUGUACCCCUGAGAUACCAGAAACCCUAAUUGGAACCCUGAAAAACCCUAAACCAAACCCUAGGGGCUUCUGUGCAAAAUUAGCCCACUUUUGGGCUAAAGUGCAAAAACCAAGCCAAAUAGGUUUCUUAAGUCCCUUGGUUCACAAAAAUGUGUACUUGAAAGCAAAACCCAAAGUUUUGGACUUAAAUGCAAAAUGGACCUUAUUUGACUUUUGCUCUAAGUCUGAAAAUCAGUGAAUGGGCUCAACUUUGGGACUUUGUAGCUUGCAAAGCAUAGGGUUUUUGCCCUAGGUCACCACAUCAAAGUUGAAGACCAAUUAUAGGAGAACAACUUUGCUUAAGGUUGUGAGCUUAGUUGUUAAGAAGAAUUUAGAGAAAACCAAGCCUAAAGUUGGGUUGUCAGGCUGUUAUGUCUGAAUUUUCAGACUAGCAGUGAACUGACCUCGACUUCAAGCUAGGUUUUGAGCAUAAUCCAGUGCUCAAAUAUGUUCAAGUCCUAUAGUCGAAUUGUAGAUGGUAUAUUGCUCUACACUAUUGCUGCAGAGAGUUGGAUUUGUUGCCACAUGAAAUUGAGAGAAAUAGGCGCUCCAAAGUGCUCUGUCAGGUGUUCUGAUGGAGUCUUCCCAUGGUACAGUACCCCGAGCUGAUAAGGUCGCCAGCAAACCGCCGCCGGUGGCUUUCCACCGUGAUUCACGUCGCCGGCGUCACGAUUCGCGCUCGGGUGUAUGGAUAACUUCGCGGCGUCAAAAGAUCUUCACCGCCCAUGCGCUGGACGUCACUCCGGUGACUCACCGCCGUCUUCCUCUACUGCUUUGCGGCUUGCGCGGAUUACCUCGCCGGUGACCGCCGCCUCCCGGACAUGUGCCGCGUGGCUUAGCCUUUCCACCGCACCACCGUGACUCCUCUAAGCUAUCCCAUCGUCGACGGGAAGCUCGCCACGCCAUUUGCCACGAAUUCACCGCACCCAGGUUCUUCUUCACCUCCGGCCGCCAGCACUGCUCGGUCAAAUUCACCACCGCCGCUUACCCUCGCUAUAAAUUGAAGCCCCCGCUAGCUCCGCUACGUCAUCCAGCACCCAGCCACCAAGAAUCGUCCUCAGUCGAUCGCCAGUGAGUCCCAAUUUCCGACUUCCCCCAAAUCCCUCUCCGCCACCGUAAACCACCCAUCACCGCGGCCAGCCCUUUCCAGGUUAGUUCAUCUCUCUCUCUCCCUUGUUUAAGCACCCUGGUUACUUAGUGAUGCUCGCCGACCCACGCAAUUGAACUAGAAACCCUCUGGUCGCUGGGAACUUGGGAUCGACGCCGCGGUUCUCGCCGUGAGCGUGGACAGUCCGUCCGCAGGGCGCUCUUGUGAAAUUAGUGCGUGUUCCGAGCUCACCUUAGGUCCGUAAGGCCUCCCCGAUGGUUAGUCCGGGCAGUCGUCGCCGGCCAUGGCCGGUACAGAGCUCGUCGGUGAUGAAUGGGGAGCGCGCCGUGACCAGGGGUAUUCGUGGAGAAGAAUUAGAAACCCAAGGGCCUUUCUGCAAUCCGUCAGUGACUUGAGAAAACAGUAAAAGAACCUGGUCGCAGUUAGUCUAAAGCGCAGGGACCUCUGCGCAAAACCGCCAGGGCGCGCGGGCGCGCGGGCGCUUUCCUCCCUGGACCUGGGCCGCCUGGGCUCAGAAUCGGCCCAAGACUGUUACAAGUUUCUCUUUUUCUUUUUGUUCCAGAGCCAAAACAAUUAUAGAAAAAUGUAGAAAAAUGCUAAAGCUGUGAAACCAAUUUUCCUAGGUUUGUUAUUUUCCAUAGUAUUUAAUAAAAAUAAGUUUGUGAUUUUUAGUGAAAGUAAGAAAUUUUAGGGUAUUUAAAAUGAUUAAAAGUAUUGGUUAUAGAUUUUUAGAAAAUAGUUGGUAAGUCCUAAAAUGCCUAAAAUUUUUAUAUGAGUGUUAUAUAAUAUUUAGAAGGCUUGGGUAGAGUUUGAAUUGAUUUGGACCUUGUUUGAUCACCAAACCCCAAAACACCCCCCCUGCCCUAUGAACUCCUUUACCGACUCCGGAAACCCUAAGUUCCCGGAACUCCGUGAAGGCAAGUUGUAUUCAAGACAUAACUAAUAAGUUUAUGUUGUCUUUGCAUCCUCAUGAGCAUCCCAUGGCAUCCAUUCUUAUACUUAUGUAUGGUUAUGAGUAGAACGUGAAGAAGAGGUAGAAGUCCCCGAAGAGCAAGUGCAACCACCUUUGGACACUCAGGCCGGGAAUAGUUUCUACUUCGACAUUUGUGGAUCCGAGCCUGAAUCACCUGUUAACGAAGGCAAGCCCCGGUGCAUGCAACCCCUUUCCUUGAAUUUUUAAAUACUUUUCGCACACUUAAGUCUAGUGAAAUGUGCAUUAAGUUCAUAGGAGUUACUUGAAACCCUUUGAUGCAUUGCUUUCCUUGACAUCCAUACCUUUAUAGAUACUUCUGUGAAGUAUCAAAAUUAUGAUUUACAAAAAUGCUUAGCCUUGCUUAGAUCUUGUGGAUAGAAGUUGUCCUCAAUUUAACCAUGGAGAGGAUAGCUUCUACCUGCAAGAAUAUUUUCAUUUGGAGCAAUAGUGGGAUCUUACUGCAAAGCUCCCCGUGAUGCUCUUUCAUCCUAAGGAACAGACACAUUCCUAAGGGUGGAAAUACUUAAAUGGAAACUUGGGGUAGGAACAGGUGAUGUUCUACCCAAGUUGGUUAAGGAUUAACGCGUAUGUAGGCGUGCUGACCGAGGACCCUUUAACUGGUCACAUGCCUCGUCAUGGGUAAGCCUUGCCUCGGGCAGACUAAGGCCGGAAUAAGACAACACGAGAUGGGCGUGGAGCGGUGGCGAGAGUAGCGUGUACCCUCCGUGGCAAGAGGCUGGACGGUGGUGUAUCUGUGCUCUCGGUCUGCGUGAACCUGAUCCGGUCUUAAGAACCCCGGUGGCGGGUUGACAUAUGCAAGGGUUAAGUGCUACAUAUGUCGUGUGAUUGGAGAUCCUCAGCUGAGUAUAAUCGAUUCGGAUCGCCGUACCUUCGCGGUUAUGAAGACUUGGUCACUUCCCUGCAACCUAGAGUCAGGAUGUGAACACAAUGGAUAAGAAUGAUGUUGUCUUGAUGUGAUGUGAAAUUAGACUAGAUGCAAAUGGAGUCUAUUAAUACUUAACAUGGCGUUAAAAGAUUGAAAGUAAGGACUCACUUUAGUAAGCUACUUCUGCAAAAAUAUAAGUUGAUUUUUGCUAAAGCCUCUCCUUGACUCCUAUUUAUCCAGCAUACCCUUAAGAGUCUUUUCCUUAGUCGGGUAAGACUUGCUGAGUAUUCCAUACUCAGGGUUUAUCCCUUCGUUGUUUUUAGGUGAGGAAGUAGCAGACUUUUGCUGCUUCUGUGCUAAGGUGGUUCCCAACAAGGAAAACCAAGACUGAAGUGCGGGAGGACUUGGUCCUCCAUCUAGGAUCUUUUGUUUUUUUGUCUUUCGGGAGAAGUUUGUUGUCUCCCUGGUUUGUAUUAUAUUACCUCUAUGCACUCACUUUUAGGCUGGUCUGUAAUAAUAUAACUCAAGCUUACUUUUGAAAUAAAUGUAAGAUUAUGUAAUUCGCUUCCGCAUUUCUUUAUCUCCGAUGUUCUGUAAUGUCUACAAGAUGGGUGAGACGUUCCUGGUAAGGUAAGGAAAGAUACCGAACUUGUCAAGUAGUUCAGGGGCACCUACAGGGUUGUCUGAUGUCUGUGAGACAAGGACAACUGUAGGUGGGCCUAAUUACUUGGGAGGUUCCGUCACAUUUUGUCCCAAACUCGGAUGGAUACAUCAAAGCUCAAGAAGGAAGAGAUCAAUCUCAUUAAAGAAUAGGAAUCAAGCUAGACCCCAAAGGAAGCUAGAUUAUGCCAGGUCAACACUCAUUUUAUGCGACCUAUCCACUAACCAUUUGUCCCUACCUACAAGCCAUCUUAACUAUAUGUCCCCAACUUGGGUGACGAUUCCAAGGCCGAAGAUCGAAGAUGAUCGACCUCAUCAAAUCAAGGAAGGAUAGGAUUUAAGCUAGAUCUUCAAAGGAAUCAGGAUCCACAAGUCUUGGAUGGAGUCUUUCCUUACCCUACUAUGUCCUACCCAAGCCUAUCCAUGCUUUAAAAACAUUUUUUACACAUUGGAUGGUUGUAUAUAUAUAUAUAUAUAUACCCAUACCUAUAAAAAAAUUCUUUAUUUUGGAACCAAUUAGAAACUGAAAGCUGAAUUACAAACCAAUCCUUCUACAUCCUUUUUCUCUUACAAAUCUCGAGGACGAGAUUUCUGUUAAGGGGGUAGGAUUUGUAAACUAUCUUCAAAGCCGGGAGGUUGCUCAACAUAGACCUCUUCCUUGAUUGGUCCAUUGAGUAAGUGUAAAGCCCUAAAAUUGGUAUAAAAAAAGAUUAAUAAAUGCAUAUAUUGAUAUAAUAGUGUUUUAGGGUUUUUUGAAACCUUUGGAUAUUAUUGGAAUUCUCAUGCUUUUGAAUGUCCAAUUGAAUAGAAUUAAGCUAGCCAAAUAAUAAAAUAAAUAGAUAUAAGAUUAUGCACCUCAUGAUGGAGUUCUUGUAUUUUUACCUGUGUACACAAAACUUUGAGACAAGUUUAAGUUUGAAAAGUAGAAUUUGUAAUACCUAAAAUUUUAUAUUGAGAUUUAGAAGAGAUUAAAAAAAUCUAAAAUCUAUUUUAAAAACUCAAGUAAGAAAUAAUAGAAUGACGUCUAUUUUGUUUGUUUGAGCAUAUUAUACUUUCACGAGUUAUCUAUGGAGCCGUAUUUGCCUAAAUGAAUAAAAGGACUAAAAUAUAUAGGUAUAUAACUCUACAUUGUAUGUUGAGAUUUUCUUUGAUUGUGCAUUCUAAUUAAACUUGGAAUUCAAACUUUAUUAGAAUUUGAUUUGAAAUUCGAAAUUUGAAAAUAAAAAAGAGCUAAACCCCUGCAUAGGCUGGCUUCUCCACUGCUUGGGCCAGACGCGCGCGCACACAACUUGCCUACCCAUAAGCACUUGGGUGCCAACGGCUGGGCUAAAUUACUCUCCCGCAUGACAUAAACCCAACCGCAUAGCCACACUAGUUUUGCCUCAAUUAUUUAUUCAUCUUGCCGCAACAUACGUCAUCCUGACAUAAGCAAUGAUGUCAUCUAGCUGGCUCUCCCACGUAUCGCUGGUAUGGAUCCGACUAGCAUUUGUGCGCUCAGCCGUGUUGCUGCGAAACGGGCCCCCUAGCCAGUGCCUCCGUGAACCUGUUCGUGCCUGGUUUCGUUGAUAGGUGGAGUCGCAUAUACAGGCUCUUUGUUUCCAGUUCGUUGAAGAUCCCAGCAAUCCUUGCGGUCGUUGCAACAACCCGCCGAGAUAUCUGCUGCUCGAUUACUCUGGCUGUUCCGUGCGCUCGCUCCCCAGGCUAUAAAUCGGGCCCUCGCCACCCCCCCUCUAAUCCAUCUAGCAAGCCAUGGCUGGACACCGCUUUCCCCUGAAGCCUUAACCACGCACGAUCUGAAAGCGUGAGGUCACCGGCGAGCACGAAUUCAAGAGAGAACAAAAAAAAAUCGUCGCCGCGCUGAGGAGAGAAAGAAAUCGCGCCAUACGCAUGGCCAUGGUCGUCGUCGGGGCUUCAGGGCCACUCAAGCUUGCAGCAGUUGCUUCUGGGGGCCUAACCACGGCGCGCCCUGCGUAGCAGGGUUGGGAAGACGGACUGGGAUCGCUCCUGGGCAGCUGUUGCGGUGCCGGUAGGGCAGUUGCGUGUUUGCGGCUGCUCCUGUGCGCUGGAGGGUCGCUGGGUCCGGCACUAUGGGCUCGUCACCAUAGUCCACGGAUUCGUACCGGAAAGUCUCACCGUGCGUGGAGGUCCGGGCAGGUGAACUUUCUGCGGCGGUUUGGCGGCCGAAGAUCUUGGAAUUUGUUGACGAAAUGCAUGCUCCUCCGCAUGUCCGAUGUGCGCCGUGGCCAGGGGUAUUCAUUCUGCGAUUGCCGGUAAGACACCUCCCAUGAUGUUCGCCGUCCUCCCUUGUACGUCUGGAUUAGAUCCGCUUUUUGGAUGGGACACCAGUGCACCGAGGCGCCGUUCACCGACGUAGGCUACCGUCGUUGGGGCGGCGCCGCCGUACCCCUGUAGCUGAGCGAGGAAGAAAGACCCCUGGUCGUCCGAUUGGCUUUGGGCGGCCUGGAUUAGAGGCUCGUACCUAUUCAACUCGGCCGGAUCUCGACCGUUGAUCGGUUAUCCUAGGCUUGUGUUAGAUCUGGGCGUGGGACGUUAUGGUCCAUGGAUCUCGAAUCGUGCGGCUGGCACCUGAUACCGGUUCGCUGUUGCGCGAUUUAAUAUGGGGCGUGCAUCCUUGAUCCAACGACCCGAAUUAACCGAUACCCUUUCGACCUGCGCGUUUUGCAAAAGAGACCUCAUAUUUAACUAUAAACAACCCGCAGUCCGCACUGUGGGAAUACUGAGUCUUGGGAAAAUUGUGAUUUAGGCCCUUGAUCUUUUAAGAAAUAUUGUGUCCAGUCCAGAACACUUAGGAUAUUCAGAAAUUAAUAAAGAAAUAGGUUUUUAGUAUGAAAAUAAUUCCAUAAACUUGUAUAAUUGAUAGUUAAUUCAUUUUAGCUCCAAAUUGAGUCAUUCCAGUUGCUAUAAUUUUGUUUUAAUAUUGUCUAUCAACUAGUAACACUGUUUAGCCAUGAAACUUGAAUUAAAAUUGUCCAUUUGAAUUAAUCUGUUCUAGGUGCUACAUAACUUGAGAAAUCCAUAACUUGGUAACCGUAACUCCGAAUUUAAUGAUUCUUGUUCCCACGGUCUCGUAGAAACGCGUAGAUUAUGACUACGCAAUUUAUUCUUAUGAUUGGUGUGAUGUUAAUUUUGCCUAUACCAUGUAUGUCUGUAUUGCUACGUUUAGCAGUGAGGUCACGUGUCAUCUGAAGAGCAAGUUGGUACCUUCUCAAGUGCCAGGCAAGUUGUGCCCUUGAUCACUUCUUUUUACCCAGCCAUGUUCUGAUUAAUCAUAAUGAUCUGCAUAGGUUAAUUUUGAUGGGACCCAAUAGGUUACCCUAGUUUGAUUAUCUUUAUACCUUGUUACCACUGAACUUUUUGGGUAGUACUUGCUAGUGCUUUAUGUGGUUUUGGGUAUGAAGAUACAUUACUCAUGAUUAUACUUUUGUUAUCCGUUGUUAUUUAUCAUUCAUGAUAAGAUCAUUAUGUUAAUUGGAACAUGGAGCGACCACCCGGGAAAAUUGUGCUACCACAAGGGUAUAAUGGGACGCCCUUGGCUGAUUAAUUAGGAAAGCUAGUGGAGGACUACCUUACCCGAAAGGGGCAAGGGCAGUAGGGGAGUGGUCAGUGUAGGGAGGCCCUUGGGAUGAUUUUGCUGCGAUGGCGGUCAUGCAAGGGAUUCCUGCAUUGGAGCUUCCUAUAAACUGUAGCGGGUUUUCUAAAGCUAGUGGAACUUUGUAAAGGCCUCGUAGUGUUACCCUGCCUCGCCUCCUCGGUAGAGGUGUAUGGGAAGUCGCGAUCCCUUGGCAGAUGGGUAACAUGACUUGUGGGUAAAGAUGCGCAACCUCUGCAGAGUGUAAAACUGGUAUACUAGCCAUGCUCACGGUCAUGAGCGGCUCGGACACUCAUAUGAUUAAAUUAUGGAACUUAAACUCAAUUUGUCAUAUGCAUUGCAUCGCAGGUGAUGUUGUUACUUUUGUUCUACUACUUAAUUGGGUUGGUAUUUACUUAUACUUAGUAAUUGCUAAUAAAAAUUUGACCAACUUUAAAAGCAAUGCUUAGCUCAAACCAUCCUCUUUGGUAAGCCUUACACUUCACGUGAGCUCCCACCUUUGGCGAGUUCAUGCACAUUAUUCCCCACAACUUGUUGAGCGAUGAACGUAUGUGAGCCCACUCUUGCUGUCUCACACCCCCCCACAGGUCAAGAACAAGUACCGCAGGAUGAGGCGCUUGGAGGAUGCUGUGACGAGUUCGUGAGAGGUCUAGGCCGUCGUCUCCCAGUCAACUUUGGGUUGCUGGACCGCUGUCUCCUUAUAAUGUAAUUAUUUAUUUAUUUUGUAUAGAACUUCUAUUAUGUAGUAAAG